Astatotilapia calliptera (eastern happy) is the source of this 1033-nucleotide long non-coding RNA. The record is from Ensembl. Lineage: Eukaryota; Metazoa; Chordata; Actinopteri; Cichliformes; Cichlidae.
AGUGAAAUGAGCUGCAGUGAUGUCAAGUUGGAUGAGAACCUAUAAAUGAUGGGUCACACUGCAACACAGCAGGAUCGUGACUGUACACGAAACACCCAUCGAAAGCAUGUCUGCUACACACAAACAAGCUCAUCUAAAUUUUCUUAUUUAGAGGCAGUUAUUACAGGCAGCUGAAGAUGAGGGGUUGUUUCUCUAAAGAAAGUGCAAAAAUGGGCAUUGGCUUUGGUAAGGGAAGUGCCUGCUCUGUGAGAUUUUGGUUAAAUCCUAAAAAGAUUUACGGCCUCAUAAGUGAAGCCGUGUCAACACUGGAAGCAAUGCACAGCAAUGUGGUGACCAAAUGCGCAUAAAAAGUUAAUGACGUUUAGAGACAUUCAAGUGGUUAGAGGUAAAAAAAAGAAAGAAAAAAAGCUGGUCCAAUUGGCAAUUACUUAGAUAAACUUUUCAUUACUACAAGAACAGGUAGUAGAUACAUUAGAGUUACAAAUAGUGAGGACGUGGUCAGCUCUAAAUCAGUGAUAAGUAUCUAGCACUGCUCACACUCCAUAAAAAAUAAAAGAAAAUAAUUUAAGAAAGCCAGAAGUCAGACGUUUUACCGAGUAAUCUUAUCAAGGACACCCAUAUUCAUUUCACGUUCAGCAGCUUUCUCCAUGACCAGUUCUCUGGUAGUUUAGUUUUCUUGCACAAAAUCCUCUAAAACCCUUCUUUUCAAUAACCAAAUAGAAUAAACAUGUAUACAGUAGCUUUAACAAGGCUAUAAGGUGUGUUUAGGUUUUUGAUUAUUUUAUUAGCACAUAUAAUAUGUGUUCUACUGCCAAAGAGCCAUUCAGUCAACAAACAUGGAUAAUUUCAUUAUUUUCAUUAUAAUUUUCAUUAUUUUUCCAAAUAUGCAGAGAAAACUGGUACUGUCCACAAAGCAUGUCAGAUAUCAAGACAUUUGAACUAUGCAAGUUCAAAUUUCUGCAUUGGUCAUUAGCAUCACAUAAAAAUGUACAACAAAAAUAAUUGACACACUUAGUCAAGUGAUAGGCAAUUU